AGCUCCAGUAGCGUAUAUUAAAGUUGUUGCGGUUAAAAGCUCGUAGUUGGAUUUCUGCUUGGAAGACCUGGUCUCCUUCUUAAGGAACAAUCAGUGUCGUCUAGGCAUCCUCUGGAAAACGGUAUUGGUGCUUGAUUGCACUGUGCCGAGUUCCGGACAUUUACUUUGAGGAAAUUAGAGUGUUCAUAGCAUGCAAUUGCAUUGAAUAUAUUAGCAUGGGAUAAUAAUAUAAGACUGAGUUUUUAUUUUGUUGGUUUCUAAGAAUUCAGUAAUGAUAAAUAGGAAUUGUCGGGGGUACUUGUAUUAACUCGUCAGAGGUGGAAUUCUUGGAUUGAGUUACGACAAACUACUGCGAAAGCAUUUACCAAGGAUGUUUUCA
Molecule: ribosomal RNA, 379 nt
Filed under: uncultured eukaryote
Lineage: Eukaryota
Description: SSU rRNA
Rfam family: Eukaryotic small subunit ribosomal RNA
Source: RNAcentral